Molecule: long non-coding RNA, 647 nt
Organism: Brassica oleracea var. oleracea
Lineage: Eukaryota; Viridiplantae; Streptophyta; Magnoliopsida; Brassicales; Brassicaceae
Exons: 4
Source: RefSeq, a predicted model, not a curated record
GCACUCUUCUCUCUUAUCUUCCGGCAUUCACCUUAGAACCAAGCCGAUUCGCGUUUGCUAUUGGUUACACAGCAUCCUCUUCAUCGUCUGGUGCUAUCGUCUCCAGAAGUGAAAGCAUUGAGAUUAAAUCGUUGCCGAUGAAGUCUAUCGCUCAGUGAACAUAAGUAUGGGUCCUUUAGAGGAAAGGAUGAUGCUUUCGGGCAUGCACACAGUUGCAAAUAUAUUCUGCUGUUGCUGCGGACAGAAUGUUGGCUGGAAAUAUGCAAGUCUCGCUUUAGCCGCACUUCCAUUCUUCUUGGGAGCGGUUUCUCGUUUUUCUCUUUGUUUCUUUGUUUCUUUGUUAGGAAUCAGCGCAUGAGAAAGAUCAGAAAUAUAAAGAAGGCAAAUUUGUACUAGAAAGAUUGAAGAUGCAUGAGGAGAGUUCAUCAAGGUGUAAAACUGAUGAGGAUGUUCAGGAAGGAGCUGUUCCUCCUUAUCUUCUUGAUCGUGAGAAUACCUCGGGCUGAGGUUUGUUUUUUGUUUCAGAGUUGAUGUAGGUUCUUAGCAACACUAUUAAACAAAAGAGGAAAAGUAUGUGUUUAGUUUGAGAUGCUAAGCUUUGUUCUUACUCAUCAUCAUCAUAUAUGCCUAGUACCAAGUUUUUUUUU